Molecule: long non-coding RNA, 1119 nt
Filed under: Marmota monax (woodchuck)
Lineage: Eukaryota; Metazoa; Chordata; Mammalia; Rodentia; Sciuridae
Source: RNAcentral
CCCCGCUCCCUGGACCCCAGAGCUGACACCAGAAGACAGUUGCCUGGAGCUGGCCGCCCACCUGUGCCUGGCUCCACCCCUCCAGCCACCUUCCGCUGGCCUCCCUGGGCUCUGCUGCCCACACAGCCCUGCGAGAGGCCACUGUGCUCCUUGCGCAUGUACCCUGCACCCAUCUGCUGCAUGCGCAGGCCGGCCAGGGAGAGUCUCCCACUGCGGGGUGGUUCCCACACCCAGACCUCCAGGUUCUCAGCCUCACUUCCCUCAGCCCCACUCCUGGGGUGAGCUCCAGGGUGAAUGGUGGAGUGAGAGCCCCGGGGGGUGAGCAGCCUGGAUGGGGGGGUGCCCUCCACCACCACACAUUCCCCAUCCUCUCACAGAAGCUCCUAGUCUCCCCCUUGGCCUCCCAGGCUCAGCACCAGCCAGGCCACAAGCCAGAGACCCCUACGUGUCCUCUGCUGCUGGGAAGCAGAGCCUUCAGUGCAGGGGAGCUGCCCCCAGGUGGCAGUUCCCCCACCUUCCCAGCACCCAUAUCCCCUCCAGACUCAAACCAAGGUCCUUCUGCUACCCACCACCAUCUCAGCCAUCGCGGUAGAUCUCCUAAGGGGCUCAGCGACAUGGACCAGACCACAGCCUCUGCUGGCCCCUCAGGGCCUGGGUGACCUGGGUGUGGCCAAGCCCCUUUGCCUCCCUUCAGGGCCCAGAAGUUCCAGGAGGCCUAGGGGCUCCCAGACUGUGAACUCCCCCUCCUGCUGGGGGUUAGGAAGCUCCGGGCCAGUCCUGUUCCAACACGGCUCUCUUCCAACAGGGAGAGAACCAACCCAGGAGGCCACCUUCCAGUAACCCCAAACCCUCAGGCCUGGCUCAGGGGGCAUCUCCCGAGCCAGCUCGAGGCCAGGUGGAGAGGGCCCUGGGAGGCUGGGUGGGCCCACAGGCCUGCAGACUCCAUGAGAGCUGGGGCAGUGCCAGGGCCUGGCAGCCAUGUGGCCAGAGCACCACAUGAGGAGUCUGUGCAACGCCUCGCACCUGGGCCAGAGGGGACCAAAGGAUACGGGGAGGCCACCACCCGGGCCCAGGAGGGUGAUAAUGAGUGAGGGAAGGGACCCCAACCUCAGGGCAGCC